CAGCAGCCGCGGGAAAACGAAGGGGGCUAGCGUUGUUCGGAUUUACUGGGCGUAAAGCGCACGUAGGCUGAUCGAUCAGUCAGGGGUGAAAUCCCAGAGCUCAACUCUGGAACUGCCUUUGAUACUGUCGAUCUGGAGUAUGGAAGAGGUGAGUGGAAUUCCGAGUGUAGAGGUGAAAUUCGUAGAUAUUCGGAGGAACACCAGUGGCGAAGGCGGCUCACUGGUCCAUUACUGACGCUGAGGUGCGAAAGCGUGGGGAGCAAACAGGAUUAGAUACCCGAGUAGUCCAUGUCUCUUAUAC
Molecule: ribosomal RNA, 301 nt
Filed under: uncultured bacterium
Lineage: Bacteria
Description: partial 16S ribosomal RNA
Rfam family: Bacterial small subunit ribosomal RNA
Source: RNAcentral